GGGGCUAUAGCUCAGCUGGGAGAGCGCUUGCAUGGCAUGCACGAGGUCAGCGGUUCGAUCCCGCUUAGCUCCUCCA
RNAcentral lists this transfer RNA (76 nucleotides) under Salmonella enterica subsp. enterica serovar Typhimurium. Its description in RNAcentral is "tRNA-Ala". It matches the Rfam family "tRNA". From Rfam's summary of the family: Transfer RNA (tRNA) molecules are approximately 80 nucleotides in length. Their secondary structure includes four short double-helical elements and three loops (D, anti-codon, and T loops). Further hydrogen bonds mediate the characteristic L-shaped molecular structure. tRNAs have two regions of fundamental functional importance: the anti-codon, which is responsible for specific mRNA codon recognition, and the 3' end, to which the tRNAs corresponding amino acid is attached (by aminoacyl-tRNA synthetases). tRNAs cope with the degeneracy of the genetic code in two manners: having more than one tRNA (with a specific anti-codon) for a particular amino acid; and 'wobble' base-pairing, i.e. permitting non-standard base-pairing at the 3rd anti-codon position. The record is from RNAcentral. Lineage: Bacteria; Pseudomonadati; Pseudomonadota; Gammaproteobacteria; Enterobacterales; Enterobacteriaceae.